UACGGAGGGGGCAAGCGUUAUUCGGAAUUACGGGGCGUAAAGCGUGCGCAGGCGGUUUUGUAAGCCAGAUGUGAAAGCCCCGGGCUUAACCUGGGAAUGGCAUUUGGGACUGCAAGGCUUGAGUGCGGCAGAGGAGACUGGAAUUCCUGGUGUAGCAGUGAAAUGCGUAGAUAUCAGGAGGAAUACCGAUGGCGAAGGCAGGUCUCUGGGCUGACACUGACGCUCAUGCACGAAAGCGUGGGGAGCAAACAGG
RNAcentral lists this ribosomal RNA (253 nucleotides) under uncultured bacterium. RNAcentral's name for it is "partial 16S ribosomal RNA". It matches the Rfam family "Bacterial small subunit ribosomal RNA", at positions 524 to 776 of the family's 1533-position model. The record is from RNAcentral.